GCAAGACCGGUGCCAGCCGCCGCGGUAACACCGGCGGCUCGAGUGGUAACCGUUAUUAUUGGGUCUAAAGGGUCUGUAGCCGGCCGGAUAAGUCUCUUGAGAAAUCUGGCAGCUUAACUGUCAGGCUUUCAGGAGAUACUGUCUGGCUCGAGGCCGGGAGAGGUGAGAGGUACUUCAGGGGUAGGGGUGAAAUCUUGUAAUCCUUGAAGGACCACCAGUGGCGAAGGCGUCUCACCAGAACGGACCUGACGGCAAGGGACGAAAGCUAGGGGCACGAACCGGAUUAGAUACCCGGGUAGUCCUAGCCGUAAACGAUACUCGCUAGGUGUCGGCCACGGUGCGACCGUUGUCGGUGCCGUAGGGAAGCCGUGAAGCGA
This 377-nucleotide ribosomal RNA is filed under the name uncultured archaeon. RNAcentral's name for it is "bacterial SSU rRNA". It matches the Rfam family "Archaeal small subunit ribosomal RNA", at positions 446 to 822 of the family's 1478-position model. The record is from RNAcentral.